RNAcentral lists this ribosomal RNA (497 nucleotides) under uncultured bacterium. RNAcentral's name for it is "partial 16S ribosomal RNA". It matches the Rfam family "Bacterial small subunit ribosomal RNA", at positions 28 to 507 of the family's 1533-position model. The record is from RNAcentral.
GAUGAACGCUGGCGGCGUGCCUAAUACAUGCAAGUCGAGCGAACAGACGAGGAGCUUGCUCCUCGGACGUUAGCGGCGGACGGGUGAGUAACACGUGUAUAACCUACCUAUAAGACUGGGAUAACUUCGGGAAACCGGAGCUAAUACCGUAUAAUAUAUUGAACCGCAUGGUUCAAUAGUGAAAGACGGUUUUGCUGUCACUUAUAGAUGGAUCUGCGCCGCAUUAGCUAGUUGUGAAGUUAACGGCUUACCAAGGCAACGAUGCGUAGCCGACCUGAGAGGGUGAUAGGCCACACUGGAACGGAGACACGGUCAAGACGCCUACGGGAGGGAGCAGUAGGGAAUCUUCCGCAAUGGGCGAAAGCCUGACGGAGCAACGCCGCGUGAGUGACGAAGGUCUUCGGAUCGUAAAACUCUGUUAUUAGGGAAGAACAAAUGUGUAAGUAACUAUGCACGUCUUGACGGUACCUAAUAAGAAAGCAACGGCUAACUACGUG